Molecule: RNase P RNA, 332 nt
Filed under: human gut metagenome
Description: Bacterial RNase P class A
Rfam family: Bacterial RNase P class A
About the family: Ribonuclease P (RNase P) is a ubiquitous endoribonuclease, found in archaea, bacteria and eukarya as well as chloroplasts and mitochondria. Its best characterised activity is the generation of mature 5'-ends of tRNAs by cleaving the 5'-leader elements of precursor-tRNAs.
Source: RNAcentral
GAAAGAUGAUCGCGAGUACUUUGUAUUCGAGGAAAGUCCGAGCUCCGUAGGGCAGGGUGCUGGAUAACGUCCAGCGAGGGUGACCUUAGGGAAAGUGCCAUAGAAAAGAAAACCGCCGAUUUUUCGGUAAGGAUGGAACGGUGCGGUAAGAGCGCACCAGCAACCAGGUGACUGGUUGGCUUGGUAAACCCCACCUGGAGCAAGACCGAAUAGGGAAGGGAUGAAGUUGCCCGCAGAACCUUCCGGGUUGUGUCGCUAGAGCUUCUAGGCAACUAGAAGCGUAGAUAGAUGAUCAUCACCGCUACGGCGGAACAAAACUCGGCUUAUUGAUU